Molecule: unclassified non-coding RNA, 248 nt
Filed under: Hevea brasiliensis (rubber tree)
Lineage: Eukaryota; Viridiplantae; Streptophyta; Magnoliopsida; Malpighiales; Euphorbiaceae
Source: RNAcentral
GUUUGAUUAGUGGAAAAGAAGAUCAAGAGUUGUUGUGUGGCUGAUAUUGUUUGGGUGAUAGUGGAAGUUGCUUGAUUCUCUGUCUCAAAUGCACACACACCACACCCCCUCCCCCCCAACCCCUCCCCGUUGUAGCCCCUCUCGCCUUUCAAUGUGGUUGCUGUUGCUUGAAGUAAAUUUUAGGGUUUUAGUUAAGAUCGGAUUUGGUUGGAUUGGAGUUGCAUUUUACAGGAUUCAUUUUUCAUGUU